AGGGAAUAUUGGGCAAUGGAGGCAACUCUGACCCAGCCAUGCCGCGUGCAGGAAGACGGUCCUCUGGAUUGUAAACUGCUUUUGAAUGGGAAGAACAACAUUCUUGCGAGAGUGUCUGACGGUACCAUUAGAAUAAGCACCGGCUAACUCCGUGCCAGCAGCCGCGGUAAUACGGAGGGUGCAAGCGUUAUCCGGAUUUAUUGGGUUUAAAGGGUGCGUAGGCGGCCCUAUAAGUCGGUGGUUAAAGGUAGCCGCUUAACGGUUUUACAUGCCAUCGAUACUGUAGGGCUUGAGUAAUUUGGAGGUAGCUAGAAUUCCCUGUGUAGCGGUGAAAUGCAUAGAUACGGGGAGGAAUACCGAUUGCGAAGGCAUGUUACUACGAAUUAACUGACGCUGAUGCACGAAAGCGUGGGGAUCAAAC
Molecule: ribosomal RNA, 421 nt
Filed under: uncultured bacterium
Lineage: Bacteria
Description: bacterial SSU rRNA
Rfam family: Bacterial small subunit ribosomal RNA
Source: RNAcentral